Molecule: long non-coding RNA, 1681 nt
Organism: Junco hyemalis (dark-eyed junco)
Lineage: Eukaryota; Metazoa; Chordata; Aves; Passeriformes; Passerellidae
Source: Ensembl
GCUCCAGCCCUGGCGCCGAGGGACCGGCCACCCCCUCCCGGCCCCGACGGUCACUUACGGUGGGGGCGGGUGCCGCCGGGAGCGCUGCCGGCCGCGGGGACGGACCCCGGCCCGCCUGCGACAGGGGUGCCGGCCGGGAGGGGGGCGGCCUCCCGUUCGGUGUCGGAAGGGUGAAUGUUUGCCGGAAACCCGGGCGUUUAUUCCACUUGGCAGAAGCGCAGGGGGUCGGGGAGGGGGCAGGGGUGCGACGGGCGGCACGCGGUGCCCGGGGAAGGGGGCGAAGAGCGGGGCCCGAUGUGCCCGCUCGCCGCUCGGCUCUCGGAUCCGCUACCCGGUGGCUGCCGCCGUGAGUCACCCCCGGCCGCGGCAGCGUCAGCCUCGCCGCGGCGUUGGCAGCCAGACGAGCCGCGGCGCGGAGCCGCCGCUGUCCUCGCAUGAACCCGGCGGGGCUGCCAGCGCCAGCCGAGUGCGCGCAAGGCGAGAGCCGAGGCUGUGCCGGCGCGGCGGCGUGCGACACCCCUGCGGCGGGGAUGGCGGAGCCGGGGCGGGGGGCGGGAGCGGGGGGGGGCAGCCCCUCGGCGGCCGGGCCCGAAAGAAAUACAGAUGCAAAAGCAGGACGUGGGUAAAUGAGAGAAGAUAAGGUAUUGCUCCUGCAAGCAGAACAUCCUGUCUUCAAAGUGGAUUUCUAGCACCCACUGUGCUGCAACGCACUCCAGCCACAUAAGUCAACUGAUACAUCCCUGCUAACUUGUCCAAAGAGGAUUUUAUUCCUCUUCCACACCAUCAGAUCGAGCCCUGUGUCCAGUUGCUUCCCUGCAGUGAUACCAUGGACUCUUCAAGCACCACCCUAGGGAUAUGAUUUCUGUUGCAUCAAUACUGACACUAUUUGUGGAUGAUUUAAGAUUCUUUUCUGCAGAGGUCCUGCUUACUGAAUUUGGGCAGCUCCAUCUUCAAAAUUUAUUUAUCGUUCCACCAAUUUUAAUUUCCUCCCUAAUUUACUAAGCACUGUUUAAAUAGGGAUGUACUUGUCUCUCAACCAUUGAGGGCAGUACUGGGGCCUGCCAAGAGUAACACCCAUUUCUGCAAACUGACUCCAGAGCUUUCCUUCAGAGCUGACAGCUGCUUUUUGACACCUAUCAGUUAGUCAGUUCUUAAUCCCCUCAGCAGUCACUCAAUACCUGUUGUACAGUACUCAUUUGUAUUAAAUGCUUAGACAGAGAAGGCAAACAAGUGUAUUUCAAUGCUGAAAAAAUGGGCUAAGAACUUAAGUCCUGGAAAGUGUUAAAAAGCUAAUCCCAACUGGUGCCUAAACACUUACAAGCACUCAGACUUACGUGACUCAUUGUAGGUCCACAGUUAUGAAACCUCAUGCUUUGUAUAUUUUUCUGUUGAUAUUAAUUUCUCUUAUCUGUGAAAGAAAAACUUAGACUGUUGGAUAGACCACACAUUGCCUUUUGUAGUCACACACACAGAACUUCCCUUUUGUUUCUCUGCAUCUUCACAGGUAACUAUUCUUUUUCAAAAAUAAUUGUCAAUGUCAGUGUAAAUCUUUCAGAUAGUAUUUCUAAUAUUGUUGAGUUCAGAUCAUGGAGCUUUGGUGACUUUCAUCCAUAUAUUCAAGUAUUCCCUCAUCUGUUUCUAUCAAUAGGAUUUAUUUAUUUGUGUCACAGUGUUUCUUUCU